UACGUAGGGGGCAAGCGUUGUCCGGAAUUAUUGGGCGUAAAGGGCGCGUAGGCGGUGCGGUAAGUCACCUGUGAAAUCUCCUGGCUCAACUGGGAGCUUGCAGGCGAAACUGCCGUGCUGGAGUGUGGGAGAGGUGCGUGGAAUUCCUGGUGUAGCGGUGAAAUGCGUAGAUAUCAGGAGGAACACCUGUGGCGAAAGCGGCGCACUGGACCACAACUGACGCUGAGGCGCGAAAGCUAGGGGAGCAAACAGG
RNAcentral lists this ribosomal RNA (253 nucleotides) under uncultured bacterium. RNAcentral describes it as "partial 16S ribosomal RNA". It matches the Rfam family "Bacterial small subunit ribosomal RNA", at positions 524 to 776 of the family's 1533-position model. The record is from RNAcentral.